UGGCAACCGCGACCGGCUGUCCGACCUCCCCGAGACCCCGACUACCUCCUCCGGUGCAUCCUCCACUUCGCCCCAGCCAAGGAGGCCACCUCCACGACCGCGCUCUCGCGGCGCUGGCAAACGCCGCUCUGGCGCUCCUCUGGCGCCGUAAACCUCGAGACGCGCGUCGAGGACUACGAGUACCGCGACCGCUACGGCGGUUAUCGUGAAGAAGACAAGGCCAUCUUCUUCUCCCGCCGCGACGCCUUCCUCUCUGCGGCCGUGGCGGCGCUCGACGGCGCCCAGCACGUCACGAGGCUCACCUUGCGCCUCGAGUCCGAGCGCGAGCGCGACAAACCGGAAGUCAUCGACGUCGCGCCGGCGCUCACAGUGGUCCGCCUCGAGUCCGUCCUUAUCAAAGUGACAGACGACGCGACUUCACAAUGCGACGCCGCCCGGGAUUGGGGCUACGACGGUCUCCCGGCUCCCAAACAGGCCGCACGCUGCCGCCUCCGAUGCCCAGCGGCCACUGUGCUCGCGCUCGAGGACUGCAAGUGGGAGGAGGAUGAGAACCUGAGGCGCCGCCGUCACCACGGAUACUACGACGAUGACAAGACCACGCCCCUCAUCGCGGUGGAGAUCGACUCACCGAGGCUGCGUCGCUUCCGGUACAUGGGGCUUCUCCGGCCAUUCACAUUCAGUCCACGGCCGCCGGAGUUGGAACAAGUGGACCUGCAUUUUUUCACGGAAAAAAAGAGGAACAUGGAUCCAUGCGGCAACCUUGAAACCUUCUGGCGAUUCGUUGGGAGCUUCACCAGCACCAAGAAGAUGAAACUACGGCUGAACCACCUUGAGGAUGUGGCCGUGCUCAACGAGGCGAGGCGGGUCGAGCUCCUGCCGGCCUUCCGCCGCCUUGAGUGCCUCGAGCUGGAAGGGGUGCGCAGGGGGAGAGGCAAGACAGCGGCGGCAGCCAUCGCAAGCCUUCUCCGCUGUAGCAACGCACUCCAUGACCUCAGGAUCAACCUCACCACGGAGCACGAGGACGCCUACAAACAAGAACGGUACAUUACUGAAUUCUUGGAAUGGAAAUUUCGACACGACCGCGACAAGUCCAUGGAUCGUUUCGACUGUUGUGAGUUGUGA
This 1122-nucleotide ribosomal RNA is filed under the name Triticum aestivum (bread wheat). RNAcentral's name for it is "partial small subunit ribosomal RNA". The record is from RNAcentral. Lineage: Eukaryota; Viridiplantae; Streptophyta; Magnoliopsida; Poales; Poaceae.